GGUUUGAUUCUGGCUCAGAUUGAACGCUUGGCAGGAUGCUUUACAUGCAAGUCGAACGGCAGCACGGACUUCGGUCUGGUGGCGAGUGGCGAACGGGUGAGUAAUGUAUCGGAACGUGCCUAGUAGCGGGAAUAACUACGCGAAAGCGUAGCUGUAUACCGCAUACGCCCUUCGAGAAAAGCAGGGGACCUUCGGGCCUCUCCACUAUUAGAAGCAGCCGAUAUCGGAUUAGCUAGUUGGUGGGAGUAACGGCUCACCAAGGCGACGAUCCGUAGCUGGUUUGAGAGGACGACCAGCCACACUGG
This 305-nucleotide unclassified non-coding RNA is filed under the name uncultured Bordetella sp. RNAcentral's name for it is "partial 16S-23S ribosomal RNA intergenic spacer". It matches the Rfam family "Bacterial small subunit ribosomal RNA", at positions 10 to 316 of the family's 1533-position model. The record is from RNAcentral. Lineage: Bacteria; Pseudomonadati; Pseudomonadota; Betaproteobacteria; Burkholderiales; Alcaligenaceae.